GAUGAACGCUGGCGGCGUGCUUAACACAUGCAAGUCGAACGAAGCACUUUAUUUGAUUUCCUUCGGGACUGAUUAUUUUGUGACUGAGUGGCGGACGGGUGAGUAACGCGUGGGUAACCUGCCUUGUACAGGGGGAUAACAGUUGGAAACGGCUGCUAAUACCGCAUAAGCGCACGGCAUCGCAUGAUGCAGUGUGAAAAACUCCGGUGGUAUAGGAUGGACCCGCGUUGGAUUAGCUAGUUGGUGAGGUAACGGCCCACCAAGGCGACGAUCCAUAGCCGACCUGAGAGGGUGACCGGCCACAUUGGGACUGAGACACGGCCCAAACUCCUACGGGAGGCAGCAGUGGGGAAUAUUGCACAAUGGGCGAAAGCCUGAUGCAGCGACGCCGCGUGAGCGAAGAAGUAUUUCGGUAUGUAAAGCUCUAUCAGCAGGGAAGAUAAUGACGGUACCUGACUAAGAAGCACCGGCUAAAUACGUG
This 481-nucleotide ribosomal RNA is filed under the name uncultured bacterium. RNAcentral describes it as "partial 16S ribosomal RNA". It matches the Rfam family "Bacterial small subunit ribosomal RNA", at positions 28 to 507 of the family's 1533-position model. The record is from RNAcentral.